RNAcentral lists this ribosomal RNA (483 nucleotides) under uncultured bacterium. RNAcentral describes it as "partial 16S ribosomal RNA". It matches the Rfam family "Bacterial small subunit ribosomal RNA", at positions 30 to 507 of the family's 1533-position model. The record is from RNAcentral.
UUGAACGCUGGCGGCAGGCCUAACCCCUGCAAGUCGCGCGGAUGAAGGGAGCUUGCUCCUGGAUUCAGCGGCGGACGGGUGAGUAAUGCCUAGGAAUCUGCCUGGUAGUGGGGGAUAACGUCCGGAAACGGGCGCUAAUACCGCAUACGUCCUGAGGGAGAAAGUGGGGGAUCUUCGGACCUCACGCUAUCAGAUGAGCCUAGGUCGGAUUAGCUAGUCGGUGGGGUAAAGGCCUACCAAGGCGACGAUCCGUAACUGGUCUGAGAGGAUGAUCAGUCACACUGGAACUGAGACACGGUCCAGACUCCUACGGGAGGCGGCAGUGGGGAAUAUUGGACAAUGGGCGAAAGCCUGAUCCAGCCAUGCCGCGUGUGUGAAGAAGGUCUUCGGAUUGUAAAGCACUUUAAGUUGGGAGGAAGGGCAGUAAGUUAAUACCUUGCUGUUUUGACGUUACCAACAGAAUAAGCACCGGCUAACUUCGUG